CGCGUAGGCGGGGAGGUAAGUCGGGUGUGAAAUCCCUCGGCUCAACCGAGGAACUGCGCCCGAGACUGCUUCUCUUGAGUCCCGGAGAGGAAGAUGGAAUUCCCGGUGUAGCGGUGAAAUGUGUAGAGAUCGGGAGGAACACCGGUGGCGAAGGCGGUCUUCUGGACGGUGACUGACGCUGAGGCGCGAAAGCGGUGGGGAAGGCAAACG
RNAcentral lists this ribosomal RNA (210 nucleotides) under uncultured bacterium. RNAcentral describes it as "partial 16S ribosomal RNA". It matches the Rfam family "Bacterial small subunit ribosomal RNA", at positions 568 to 774 of the family's 1533-position model. The record is from RNAcentral.